RNAcentral lists this ribosomal RNA (508 nucleotides) under Anaplectus sp. PDL-2005. Its description in RNAcentral is "bacterial SSU rRNA". It matches the Rfam family "Eukaryotic small subunit ribosomal RNA", at positions 88 to 590 of the family's 1831-position model. Lineage: Eukaryota; Metazoa; Nematoda; Chromadorea; Plectida; Plectidae. The record is from RNAcentral.
CGCGAAUAGCUCAUUACAACAGCCACUGUUUACUUGAUCUUGAUUAUCCUACUUGGAUAACUGUGGUAAUUCUAGAGCUAAUACAUGCAACCAAGCUCCGACCGUAAGGGACGAGCGCAUUUAUUAGAACAAAACCAAUCGGGCUUCGGCCUGAGGUUUGGUGAAUCUGAAUAACUGAGCUGAUCGCAUGGUCUUUGUACCGGCGACGCAUCUUUCAAGUGUCUGCCUUAUCAACUUUCGAUGGUAGUUUAUCGGACUACCAUGGUUGUGACGGGUAACGGAGGAUAAGGGUUCGACUCCGGAGAAGGGGCCUGAGAAAUGGCCACUACGUCUAAGGAUGGCAGCAGGCGCGCAAAUUACCCACUCUCAGCACAUUGAGGAGGUAGUGACGAGAAAUAACGAGACCGUUCCCUUUGAGGCCGGUCAUCGGAAUGGGUACAAUCUAAACCCUUUAACGAGUAUCUAUGAGAGGGCAAGUCUGGUGCCAGCAGCCGCGGUAAUUCCAGCU